This 109-nucleotide transfer RNA is filed under the name Dysgonomonas sp. GY75. Its description in RNAcentral is "tRNA-OTHER". It matches the Rfam family "tRNA". Rfam says of the family: Transfer RNA (tRNA) molecules are approximately 80 nucleotides in length. Their secondary structure includes four short double-helical elements and three loops (D, anti-codon, and T loops). Lineage: Bacteria; Pseudomonadati; Bacteroidota; Bacteroidia; Bacteroidales; Dysgonomonadaceae. The record is from RNAcentral.
CGCUUCGUAGCUCAACAGGUAAGAGCGAUUGCGUUUGAAUCUGUUUGAUUUAUCUCAAAUAAGAACAAUGUAAGUCGGAAGGCUGGUAGUUCGAAUCUACCCGAAGCGA